UACAGAGGUCCCAAGCGUUGUUCGGAUUCAUUGGGCGUAAAGGGUGCGUAGGUGGCGCCAUAAGUCGGGUGUGAAAUCUCGGGGCUUAACUCCGAAACUGCAUUCGAUACUGUGGUGCUUGAGGACUGGAGAGGAGACUGGAAUUCAUGGUGUAGCAGUGAAAUGCGUAGAGAUCAUGAGGAAGACCAGUGGCGAAGGCGGGUCUCUGGACAGUUCCUGACACUGAGGCACGAAGGCCAGGGGAGCAAACGGG
RNAcentral lists this ribosomal RNA (253 nucleotides) under uncultured bacterium. RNAcentral's name for it is "partial 16S ribosomal RNA". It matches the Rfam family "Bacterial small subunit ribosomal RNA", at positions 524 to 776 of the family's 1533-position model. The record is from RNAcentral.